Non-coding RNA from Arachis ipaensis, 371 nucleotides. Lineage: Eukaryota; Viridiplantae; Streptophyta; Magnoliopsida; Fabales; Fabaceae. The record is from RefSeq and is a predicted model, not a curated record.
AGUCAAUGCUUCUAGGUACACCAUGGAGCGAUCACGAUUUAGUGAUCAUCUGGAAGCCAUAAAGUUCAUCUGCAAGGAUUUUUGGACUGAGCUCUUUAAGAAGCAAAUAGACAACUUGAAAACAAACCAUAGAGGUACCUUUGUAUUGCAAGAUAAUAAGUUCCCCUGGCUUGAGCGGAUAUCAAUUUUAAUCUAAGAAGUUUGGGGUUAAUGAAUUUGUGAACCCAAAAGAUCAUAACAAACCUAUACAAGAGAUAAUUUCUGAAAUGACUAAUGGAGGAGUGGAUCGUUCUGUUGAAUGUACUGGCAGCAUCUAGGCUAUGAUCUCAGCAUUUCUAGUUCUGUUCUAAUCCCGCCACUUUCAUUCCCUG